UUUUCCGUCUAGAACUUUCACACCAAUAAUCUAGUGAGUAUCCCUUAGGAAAUGAAGAGAAAACUGGACAGGUUUAACCAGACUUGGCCAUAGUAAAGCAUAGGCUUUGGGCAUAAAACUGCCCAAGAGGAAUAUUUGAUAAAAGAGUGCAGCUCCAUGACCUUUUUGACUGCUACACAAUCAGUUAGUGGUCCCUCUGCUGAAACUACUGACAACAGUGACACCUGUGAUGGUGGUUUUUGUGGUUGGGGCACCUGUCUGAUAGAAAUUGGGUCGAGGCUGAUGACUCAGUGCUCAAAACCUGCCAAGCAGCUGUCAGAUGGUGGGAGUUUUCACCAUCUCCUAGACUGGCUGAGUGCUAACUGCUGACUUUGAGAAAUACGGGUUAUGAGACUUGACCAGCUUCCCGGACUUUCCCUGUACCCUGAGUCCUCUUUUAUUUCCAUCACUAGAAAGGCAAAUGUGUUUGCUAUUUAUAUAUCCAAUGUCCAUUUUUAAUUUUCUUGUGUGUGUGAGGGUAUGUGAGCAAUUCUUGUCUUUAAUUUCAUCAUGAAAGAAACUUGUUCCUAUGCAGAAAGCCAAACAUGCUCUCUGCACUGCCUCAGAGCAGUGGAAACUCUUACUGAUUCUUUGGGAGGAGAAGUUAAUGCUAUCUUAUCACAGCAAAGAAGCCAGGGAACCUGAUCAGACACUGGCAUCUUUUACAAAGCUGCAUACUCUGCUCAGUGCUUGGUGAAAUCAAGAAAACUUCCAGACAGACUUUCAAAUGGGAACUCAUCUUUAGCUACUAAAAGACAAGUGUUUGGUCCACCUCCCCUAUAACCAUCUCCAAAGGGCACCUCACCCACAGGUGAUUAAAACAGGCAGAGCUUCUGCAGUUGUCUAUCUCUUUCAUUUGACUGAAGAGAGCUUGGAAGACCUGCUUGAGCUGGAUGGUUCAUUUUUAGUUGAUUAAAUUUAAGUGAAGUGAAGCCAGUCUCAGUAUGACCAGCAUAUGAUCAUAUAUGUAAAAUAAAUAACAUUGAGAAGAAGAGGUGACAGAAGAGCUUCCCACACAGGAAAGGUAGUUGACACUAGAAUAGUAAUCUUUCUCAUUAUUUCCCAGACCAUUAUUUCCCUUUUCCCAAGAUGCUACAACCUGUUGUCUUCCAGCAGGCAAAAGAAUGUGACUACAGUCAUUGCAAUACUGAAUAUGCAAUAUUCAUAAUACAGAGGAGAAAAUGAAGGCAAAGAACGUAAAUCAUUUGGCUACAAAAAUCUAUCAGUAUUAGAACCAAGCUAAUUAUUUAGGGGUUGCUGGUUCCCAUGGCUCUUUCAGACCAAGCUAAUACCUUAUUAAUGCUUAUCCCUGCUGUAUUUAAUACGAUAAAUCUUCAUUUAAGAAGCUGCAACUCCUAUAACAUUUAAUUACUUCACUGUGCAGCUUUAAGAUGUGAGUGGGUUUGAAGGAAAGAAGGAAAAAAAAAAGGGGGGGUGGGUUGACUUCAUUUGGAUUUAAUUAAUUUUCUCUGUGGUUUGCUUGGUAAAAGGCUUCUCUCCUAAGGUAAGGCAGCUGUGACUACACACUGAAGUAUAAGAAAAGUCAUAAGAUAGAGGCCAAGAGUUUGAAACCAGGUUACCACCUACACUGAGGCCAAACUUUCAGUUAUGUUGACUGCACUGUAAAUGCUGCUGAAAUCAUAAGGAUCUGAAGAUGACUAGAAAUACAUCUCUAUAACCUUGGUGGGGGAGAGAGUGCCAGGCUAUAUGCCCCAGCAAACUACCUUCUGCACUGAUGGAGGCCGUGAGAAGUAACCACCGACAGCAAGUUUACUGCAUCUGAGGUGAAAUGAGGCUGUUUCAGAGGGAACUGGAGAGCAAAAGGUCACUGUUUUUAAGACACUCUACGUUUCCAUGACUGCAAGAAUAUGACAAUCACACCACGUAUCCUUUGGCUUUAGAAAAUAUCCCCAGACACUGAAUAGGCAAUCAGCUUGCCUUUUUAUCAGCUUUUGCAGAGAAACUAGGCUGUCACAGCCAAGGACCUGACCAUUAUCUUUUUAUUUCACAUUUUUACAUCUCCCAGACUGUAGCUCACAGGCAAGCUGAACCAAUACAUCAGAACGAGACAGUUACUUACAACAUUAAAGGUCUUUAGAAGCUUCUUUCUGCAACAGAGCCCUGUUUCUGCCCCUCAUCACCCCAGUGAAUGACAAUUUGAAAGAAAACCAGAAGCCUUGCUAUGGAUUUACAAGUUUCUCAGAGCAAAUCACUGGAUGCCAAAGAAGCUGCCAGGCUACUGCAACUUGCUAGCAGUUAUAAUCAGCGAACAAAGGAGUCAGAGGCAGCACCGAGGGGGAACCUUUUGUGAAAAAUAUUGACCAGCAAAUUACACUGUAGACAGUGCUUUGGCACUUGGCUGUCUAAAGGUGACUCAAACGAUUCGUUUAGCUCUGCUAGCUGGUUUCUAAUUACACCAAAUGCCUGACUGUUGUCAGUGGGCCCAGUAUUUUGUGAGCGGGUGCUCUUCGCAUGUGUCAUUCAUUACCUCACACUGUACCAAGAGCCAUCUCUGCAGGGAGAAUAGUUGGCAAUGCCAUUCAUUUGGAUAAUUUCCUCAGAUAGUGGAUUGCAACAAACCCCUCAAAACAAUCCCCUUCUACACUUCCAAAACAAAUAAGAAAGAAAGAAAGAAGAAAGGAAUGAAGGAAGGAAGAAAAGGAGAGAAAGAGAAGAAAGGAGAGAAGAGAACAAAAGAAAGAAAGAGGAGAGAGAGAGAGAGAAAGAAGAGAAAAACAAGCCUACAAAAAAGCAGCAGAGCCCCCAGCCACCACAUGCUAAUUUCAGUAAAUGCCCAGGAAUGAAACGGUGGCAAGUUGCUGUCUGGGGUUUACAAACUGAACACAGUUUACCCUUCCUGGGUUUUAGCUGGACUCCUGCUCUGGUGCCAGAGUAACAGCUGUAGCAGCUGCACUUGCAUUUUGCCACCCAGUACAGGCACCUGCUGCGACCAAGGAAGUGAAAACCCACAAGAGAUGCAAUUUUCUUUUAAUUACAUUAGCCUGGUUUUGGCAGCCAGCCAUACAACAGAGUAUUGGUGGGGAUGUGGACUCUAUUCACAAUUAGAGCCUGUCUGGGGGUUACUUUUGACACGUGGCAGGGAGAAACUGGGCAGGAUCCAUAUUAGUGCUGAUUCCUGUUUGGGAGAAAUAAUCAAGACUGACACGUUUUUUGUUACAUGGUGGUAACUAUAUUGAACUCUUAGAUCUGUUUUAUGCACUUUGCAGACUGUCUGGAUCAUAGCAGUUAUAUACAUGCCACUGAAAUAUCCAGGGUCAAGCCACGGGCCUGAGGAGUAGUUGAAAAUCACCCGUGCUCUUUAAUUGCUAUUUUGACCCAAACGAUGCUGCCCCAGACGUGCCUGAGCGCAGUCUGAAUUAUGGCAUGGGUGAGGCUGCUCUCAAACAGUCUGUUCCCAAUAAGCUGUACGGAUAAGGACAUCAUCUUUUGGAGAGAGAGAAAGUUGAGGCAUGCAGACAUGAGCCGUGUGGUGCCAAUUCUCCCCAGGGCCACAGCAGGCUCUGGCCUGUUUCAUUUAUUCCUCUAGAAACAGCCAGCUCCACCUGACUGUCCCUGGGUGCUGUGGAGAAGGAGGUGGGCUCUGGGUGUUUUCCACAAGGGGAAGAAGCUGUUCAUUGUUCCCAAUGUGCUCAGUGGCUAAAAUUAUCUUUUCUGUAGCAGGUGCAUUCAAGGUUUUUAUGCUAGGAUGGUCACAAAUAAGGAAUAACGUACCAUUUCUUACAGCUUACAUUAGCUACCUAUUGCCAACUUGCAGAAUAUAUUGAGGAAAUAUCAUGACCCAACAACGCUGCUCAAGCAAUGCUGCCCAUUUAACCUCAGAUGCUGUGGCUACCUGAAUUAAGGCCUGUUUUCACCUUAGGCAAGCUCUUACUGUUUUUAACCUUCUGGGCACUGUUGCAGGACGUAAGCCAUGAUGCAAAGAAGAACUUUGGAUCUCCAUCUCACUUUUUGCCCAUCUACAUCAGCAAAGAUGCCUCAGAAGCUGGCAAAAAGUUUAGGUUUGUAAGAUGCUCACUGUGCUCACCUUGGCAAGGGGAUGUAAGUGGGGAAGACCCGGUGCACCUUCCUCUGCACUAGCAAAGUGUCUCCAAGAGACAAGCAAUGUGUCCCUUGUUGUUUCACCCAGACUUGGUCCCUGGGCCACCUGUGUAAGUGUGUAAGCAAUGCUUCUGGUAUGCAUAAGCUGCCACAAAAACCCUUCACAGGUGCCUGACUGUUUGAAUUCCCAGGGCGAUGCGCCACAAAACAGAUGAGUCUCAGCACACUCUUUCUGUUCAGAGACCUGGCAAGCCCCUGGAUCCUGUAGGAGCACACUGUGGACUCACGUAUGCCUGAACAAGAGCCAUCAAUCUCUCUGCCUCUGCACUAUCAGAAGGGAGCUGGCACUGAAAACAGAGCAAAUGACAUAGUGCAAGACAUUUCCACCAUGGCAGGGCUGUAGUGCAGACCAGAGACUGUGCGGAGUGUCAACACAUACGUCUGCAGGAUGCUGAAAGAUUCAGUCAUCAGAGGAGGAUGAGAGCUGGGCUGAGUGUUAACAGCAGAGUGCUUGGUCACGAGGAACAAAGGUGGAAAGAGAAGACACAGAAAAGGCUUCUCUGUCCUGGCUGAUCAACUGGGUGAAAUAUUUGCUGGAAAAAAAAAAUUCAUGGUUUCUUUAGUAAGGCUGUAAUCAUGCUCCUGUUUCUGAAGAGCUUUAUUCCCAGCAAGUGACAGGAUUGCAUAGCACUGUGAACAGCACUCAGGACUGUCUGGAACAUGAAAAGCAGGGCUUUGAGGAGGGGUGUCUGUGUGUUUUGAAUAAAAUUUUCCAGUUAAAAAUGUGCGUCAGAUUGUUUGUCAGUAAUACUCAUAUAAAAGAAAUCACACUGA
Molecule: non-coding RNA, 4932 nt
Organism: Anas platyrhynchos (mallard)
Lineage: Eukaryota; Metazoa; Chordata; Aves; Anseriformes; Anatidae
Source: RefSeq, a predicted model, not a curated record